UACGUAGGGUGCAAGCGUUAAUCGGAAUUACUGGGCGUAAAGCGUGCGCAGGCGGUUAUGUAAGACAGGUGUGAAAUCCCCAGGCUUAACCUGGGAACUGCGUGUGAUACUGGAUGGCUUGAAUUCGGGAGAGGGAUGCAGAAUUCCAGGUGUAGCGGUGAAAUGCGUAGAUAUCUGGAGGAAUACCGGUGGCGAAGGCGGCAUCCUGGACCGACAUUGACGCUGAACGGCGAAAGCUAGGGGAGCAAACGGG
This 253-nucleotide ribosomal RNA is filed under the name uncultured bacterium. RNAcentral describes it as "partial 16S ribosomal RNA". It matches the Rfam family "Bacterial small subunit ribosomal RNA", at positions 524 to 776 of the family's 1533-position model. The record is from RNAcentral.